GAAAUGCGAUAAGUAAUGUGAAUUGCAGAAUUCAGUGAAUCAUCGAAUCUUUGAACGCACAUUGCGCCCGCCAGUAUUCUGGCGGGCAUGCCUGUCCGAGCGUCAUUUCAACCAUCAAGCCCCCGGGCUUGUGUUGGGGACCUGCGGCUGCCCGCAGGCCCUGAAAACCAGUGGCGGGCUCGCUGUCACACCGAGCGUAGUAGCAAUCACCUCGCUCAGGGCGUGCUGCGGGUUCCGGCCGUUAAACCACCUUCGUAACCCAAGGUUGACCUCGGAUCAGGUAGGAAGACCCGCUGAACUUAAGC
RNAcentral lists this unclassified non-coding RNA (305 nucleotides) under plant metagenome. Its description in RNAcentral is "partial contains 5.8S ribosomal RNA, internal transcribed spacer 2, and large subunit ribosomal RNA". The stretch from base 1 to 105 matches the Rfam family "5.8S ribosomal RNA", at positions 50 to 154 of the family's 154-position model. The record is from RNAcentral.